AUGGCGUCGUCCUCAACCUCCCGCUCGCCGCACGCCCAUCUUCCGUCGUGCUGCGUGCGCCACUGCGCUCGUUGCGCCUCCGCGUACAGUGACCUAGGAAGGCCUUGCGGUGCCUCUGCUCGCCAACCGACGGCGCCAUGGAUGGCGACAACGCCAACAUGCACCUCCGUAGGCUGCUCCGGCGAUCCUCGCCACUGCUGGCGAGCAGCACUAGCAGAAGCGCCGAUCGAGCCUCCCAUAUUCCCUGCUCCUUCCC
RNAcentral lists this long non-coding RNA (256 nucleotides) under Hordeum vulgare. RNAcentral describes it as "long non-coding RNA (HVUL_LNC007343)". Lineage: Eukaryota; Viridiplantae; Streptophyta; Magnoliopsida; Poales; Poaceae. The record is from RNAcentral.